GAUGAAGAACGCAGCGAAAUGCGAUAAGUAAUGUGAAUUGCAGAAUCCAGUGAAUCAUCGAAUCUUUGAACGCACAUUGCGCCCCUUGGUAUUCCAUGGGGCAUGCCUGUUCGAGCGUCAUUUGUACCUUCAAGCUUUGCUUGGUGUUGGGUGUUUGUCUCGCCUCCGCGUGUAGACUCGCCUCAAAACAAUUGGCAGCCGGCGUAUUGAUUUCGGAGCGCAGUACAUCUCGCGCUUUGCACUCACAACGACGACGUCCAAAAGUACAUUUUUACACUCUUGACCUCGGAUCAGGUAGGGAUACCCGCUGAACUUAAGCAUAUCAAUAAGCGGAGGA
RNAcentral lists this unclassified non-coding RNA (337 nucleotides) under soil metagenome. RNAcentral's name for it is "partial contains 5.8S ribosomal RNA, internal transcribed spacer 2, and large subunit ribosomal RNA". The stretch from base 1 to 120 matches the Rfam family "5.8S ribosomal RNA", at positions 35 to 154 of the family's 154-position model. The record is from RNAcentral.